This 527-nucleotide ribosomal RNA is filed under the name Anastrepha barbiellinii. Its description in RNAcentral is "partial small subunit ribosomal RNA". It matches the Rfam family "Bacterial large subunit ribosomal RNA", at positions 1823 to 2605 of the family's 2925-position model. The record is from RNAcentral. Lineage: Eukaryota; Metazoa; Arthropoda; Insecta; Diptera; Tephritidae.
AAACAUGUCUUUUUGAAUUGUAUUUAAAGUCUGACCUGCCCACUGAAUAAUUUUAAAUGGCCGCAGUAUUUUGACUGUGCAAAGGUAGCAUAAUCAUUAGUCUUUUAAUUGAAGGCUGGUAUGAACGGUUGGACGAAGUAUAAGCUGUUUCAUAUGAAUUUAUAAUAGAAUUUUAUAUUUUAGUUAAAAAGCUAAAAUUUUUUUAAAAGACGAGAAGACCCUAUAAAUCUUUAUAGUUAAUUUUAACUAAAUUUUUUUGAUUUAUUUUAUUUUUUUAACAUUAACUAUUUUGUUGGGGUGAUAUUAAAAUUUAAUGAACUUUUAAUUUUUUAAAAUCAUUAAUUUAUGAAUUAUUGAUCCAUUAAUAAUGAUUAUAAGAUUAAGUUACUUUAGGGAUAACAGCGUAAUUUUUUUUGAGAGUUCAUAUCGACAAAAAAGUUUGCGACCUCGAUGUUGGAUUAAGGUAUAAUUUUGGGUGUAGCCGUUCAAAAGUUAAGUCUGUUCGACUUUUAAAUCCUUACAUGAUC